Molecule: ribosomal RNA, 503 nt
Filed under: uncultured bacterium
Lineage: Bacteria
Description: partial 16S ribosomal RNA
Rfam family: Bacterial small subunit ribosomal RNA
Source: RNAcentral
AUUGAACGCUGGCGGCAGGCUUAACACAUGCAAGUCGAGCGGGGUGAUGGUGCUUGCACUAUCACUUAGCGGCGGACGGGUGAGUAAUGCUUAGGAAUCUGCCUAUUAGUGGGGGACAACGUCUCGAAAGGGAUGCUAAUACCGCAUACGUCCUACGGGAGAAAGCAGGGGAUUACUUGUGACCUUGCGCUAACAGAUGAGCCUAAGUCGGAUUAGCUAGUUGGUGGGGUAAAGGCCUACCAAGGCGACGAUCUGUAGCGGGUCUGAGAGGAUGAUCCGCCACACUGGGACUGAGACACGGCCCAGACUCCUACGGGAGGCAGCAGUGGGGAAUAUUGGACAAUGGGGGGAACCCUGAUCCAGCCAUGCCGCGUGUGUGAAGAAGGACUUAUGGUUGUAAAGCACUUUAAGCGAGGAGGAGGCUCUUUUGGUUAAUACCCAGAAUGAGUGGACGUUACUCGCAGAAUAAGCACCGGCUAACUCUGUGCCAGCAGCCGCCGUAA